AACAGCUGCCAUUUUCGCAUCCAUAGGCAAAAUGAAGAAAGGUUACAUGUAAGAAACACAUUUAGCAUAUAGGCUACAGAUUCUAUCAAAUGCGAUUUAAAACUUGUAUUUUACAUACUAGAUUAUCUUUAAAUCUAAUAGAACAAUGCUUGUUGCAUCAAUUGUUGAUUUUUCAACAAAUAUCAUUUUACUAAAUUAUGAUAUUUUUAUCCUUCACCAUCUUUGAACGUACAAUUAUUACUCCAUAUCAUUUUAUCAUUUACAAAAGAAACUGAAUAUAUUAAUGAAGAACAAGACAUAUACAUACACAGGUACUGUAACCUCGGUCAGCUAAUACAAUGACACCACACAAAUACAUAUACAGGUACUGUAACCCUCGGUCAGGUAAUACAAGGACACCACACAAAUACAUAUACAGGUACUGUAACCCUCGGUCAGGUAAUACAAGGACACUACACAAAUACAUAUACAGGUACUGUAACCCUCGGUCAGGUAAUACAAGGACACUACACAAAUACACAUACAGGUACUGUAACCCUCGGUCAGGUAAUACAAGGACACCACACAAAUACAUAUACAGGUACUGUAACCCUCGGUCAGGUAAUACAAGGACACCACACAAAUACAUAUACAGGUACUGUAACCCUCUAUCAGGUAAUACAAGGACACCACACAAAUACAUAUACAGGUACUGUAACCCUCUAUCAGGUAAUACAAGGACACCACACAAAUACAUAUACAGGUACUGUAACCCUCUAUCAGGUAAUACAAGGACACCACACAAAUACAUAUACAGGUACUGUAACCCUCUAUCAGGUAAUACAAGGACACCACACAAAUACAUAUACAGGUACUGUAACCCUCGGUCAGGUAAUACAAGGACACCAAAUACAUAUACAGGUACUGUAACCCUCGGUCAGGUAAUACAAGGACACCACACAAAUACAUAUACAGGUACUGUAACCCUCGGUCAGGUAAUACAAGGACAUCACACAAAUACAUAUACAGGUACUGUAACCCUCGGUCAGGUAAUACAAGGACACCACACAAAUACAUAUACAGGUACUGUAACCCUCUAUCAGGUAAUACAAGGACACCAAAUACAUAUACAGGUACUGUAACCCUCGGUCAGGUAAUACAAGGACACCACACAAAU
This is a long non-coding RNA of Pecten maximus, 1156 nucleotides long. RefSeq lists it as uncharacterized. Lineage: Eukaryota; Metazoa; Mollusca; Bivalvia; Pectinida; Pectinidae. The record is from RefSeq and is a predicted model, not a curated record. The transcript is spliced from 3 exons.